GACGAACGCUGGCGGCGUGCUUAACACAUGCAAGUCGAACGGAAAGGCCCUGCUUUUGUGGGGUUCUCGAGUGGCGAACGGGUGAGUAACACGUGAGUAACCUGCCCUUGACUUUGGGAUAACUUCAGGAAACUGCGGCUAAUACCGGCUCGGAGCUCCUCCUGCCUGGUGGGGGUUGGAAAGUUUCGGCGGUUGGGGAUGGACUCGCGGCUUAUCAGCUUGUUGGUGGGGUAGUGGCUUACCAAGGCUUUGACGGGUAGCCGGCCUGAGAGGGUGACCGGCCACAUUGGGACUGAGAUACGGCCCAGACUCCUACGGGAGGCAGCAGUGGGGAAUAUUGCACAAUGGGCGGAAGCCUGAUGCAGCAACGCCGCGUGCGGGAUGACGGCCUUCGGGUUGUAAACCGCUUUCGCCUGUGACGAAGCGUGAGUGACGGUAAUGGGUAAAGAAGCACCGGCUAACUACGUG
RNAcentral lists this ribosomal RNA (468 nucleotides) under uncultured bacterium. RNAcentral describes it as "partial 16S ribosomal RNA". It matches the Rfam family "Bacterial small subunit ribosomal RNA", at positions 28 to 507 of the family's 1533-position model. The record is from RNAcentral.